AUUCCAGCUCCAAUAGCGUAUAUUAAAGUUGUUGCGGUUAAAAAGCUCGUAGUUGGAUUUCUGUUGAGGUUGGGCGGUCCGCACUACGUGCGAGUAUCUGCUUCGGCCUUGGCAUCCUCUCGGAAAACGCUACUGUGCUUGAUUGCAUGGUGCGGGGUUCGGGACUUUUACUUUGAGGAAAUUAGAGUGUUCACGGCAGGCAAUCGCCCUGAAUAUAUUAGCAUGGAAUAAUAAUAUAGGAUCUGAUGCCUAUUUUGUUGGUUUCUAGGCGUGAGAUAAUGAUUAAUAGGGACAAUUGGGGGGAUUCGUAUUAUGGCGUCAGAGGUGGAAUUCUUGGAUUGCCAUACGACGAACUACUGCGAAAGCAUUUCUCAGGGAUGUUUUCAUCG
Molecule: ribosomal RNA, 389 nt
Filed under: Syndiniales sp.
Lineage: Eukaryota; Dinophyceae; Syndiniales
Description: partial small subunit ribosomal RNA
Rfam family: Eukaryotic small subunit ribosomal RNA
Source: RNAcentral